Molecule: ribosomal RNA, 484 nt
Filed under: uncultured bacterium
Lineage: Bacteria
Description: partial 16S ribosomal RNA
Rfam family: Bacterial small subunit ribosomal RNA
Source: RNAcentral
AUUGAACGCUGGCGGCAGGCCUAACACAUGCAAGUCGAGCGGAUGAAGGGAGCUUGCUCCUGGCUUCAGCGGCGGGCGGGUGAGUAAUUCCUAGGAAUCUGCCUGGUAGUGGGGGAUAACGUCCGGAAACGGGCGCUAAUACCGCAUACGUCCUGAUGGAGAACGUGGGGGAUCUUCGGACCUCACGCUAUCAGAUGAGCCUAGGCCGGAUUAGCUAGUUGGUGAGGUAAAGGCCUACCAAGGCGACGAUCCGUAACUGGUCUGAGAGGAUGAUCAGUCACACUGGAACUGAGACACGGUCCAGACUCCUACGGGAGGCAGCAGUGGGGAAUAUUGGACAAUGGGCGAAAGCCUGAUCCAGCCAUGCCGCGUGUGUGAAGAAGGUCUUCGGAUUGUAAAGCACUUUUAGUUGGGAGGAAGGGCAGUAAGUGAAUAUCUUGCUGUUUUGACGUUACCAACAGAAUAAGCAACGGCUAACUUCGUG